CCUACGGGGGGCUGCAGUGGGGAAUAUUGGACAAUGGGGGGAACCCUGAUCCAGCCAUGCCGCGUGUGUGAAGAAGGUCCUCGGGUUGUAAAGCACUUUCAGUGAGGAAGAACGCCUGGUGGUUAAUACCCAUCAGGAAAGACAUCACUCACAGAAGAAGCACCGGCUAACUCCGUGUCAGUAGCCGCGGUAAUACGGAGGGUGCGAGCGUUAAUCGGAAUUACUGGGCGUAAAGCGCGCGUAGGUGGCUUGAUAAGCCGGUUGUGAAAGCCCCGGGCUCAACCUGGGAACGGCAUCCGGAACUGUCAAGCUAGAGUGCAGGAGAGGAAGGUAGAAUUCCCGGUGUAGCGGUGAAAUGCGUAGAGAUCGGGAGGAAUACCAGUGGCGAAGGCGGCCUUCUGGACUGACACUGACACUGAGGUGCGAAAGCGUGGGUAGCAAACAGGAUUAGAUACCCUGGUAGUC
Molecule: ribosomal RNA, 465 nt
Filed under: Vreelandella stevensii
Lineage: Bacteria; Pseudomonadati; Pseudomonadota; Gammaproteobacteria; Oceanospirillales; Halomonadaceae
Description: partial 16S ribosomal RNA
Rfam family: Bacterial small subunit ribosomal RNA
Source: RNAcentral